Varanus komodoensis (Komodo dragon) is the source of this 5032-nucleotide RNA transcript. It is a transcript of the gene named mediator of DNA damage checkpoint 1, with no coding region annotated. NCBI's taxonomy places the organism in Eukaryota, Metazoa, Chordata, Lepidosauria, Squamata, Varanidae. The transcript has 18 exons. The record is from RefSeq and is a predicted model, not a curated record.
GGGGCAAGAAGGGGGCGGCUUCCCCCCCCUCCAGUUUAGGAAAGUGUCCCUUAAGCGGCUUUCAAAUGGACCAAACUCAGCUGUUGGACUGGGAUGAAGACGAGGAUCUCGACGAUCCUUCUGACGGGGUUGGUGGCUCUGGGGAGACCCCCAAGCCUGUGGGACGCCUGCAUCUUCUGAGCAGCAAGUAUGGCCCCGAGAAAGAUUUCUGGAUCUAUCCUGGGGAGAAUGUCAUUGGUCGGCUGGAAAGCUGUCAGAUCUGCUUGCCGGCUGCUUCUGUUUCUAAGACUCAUGCUGUGAUUGAAGUGCCCUCCCCCGACGGGCCACACCUCUUGUAUGAUCAGGGCAGCCUGAACCGGACCCGGCGGCAGCGUGUGGUGCUGAUCCCCCAGGUCCGAUACAGCCUCCAAGAUGGGGACACCUUGCUCUUCGGGGACGUGGGGUGCCAGUACUUCCUGCUGGCCCCAGGGGGUACCUCAGAAUCCCCCGAUGACUCUGUGGAGGUGCCUCCCACUCAGACGGACGCGGAGGCCACUGGCUUGGCCAUUGAGGAGACGCCUGCGCCGGGCAAGAAGAUGGGCUUUGGGCAGGUUCUGGUCCAGGAUUCUGACAAGGAGGAGGAAGGGGAAGAAGGGGAGAACGAGACCAGCAGGAUCCUGCAUCCCCCAGCGAGGGAUGGAUCUGUCAAAGAUGGCACUGGAGGAUGUUCCAAGUUGGCCACCUCCAUGUUCUCCUCUCCUUCAGCUACUGUUGUACCUGAAAGUGAUGAGGAGGGUGGGGAAGCUCCUGCCAGUGAGCCGCCUUGUCCCUCCCUGCGUCUGUGCUUUGAGAGUCAGGAUGCUGAGCCAGGCUCUUUGGAGAAUGGAGUCACUGCGCCUUCAAGCCAAGACCGGCAUCCUCCUCAGCCAGCAGCUGCCCAAACUGAAGUGUCCCCAGAGACAGGAGAAGUGACCACGAAAGAGCAGGCAGCUCCCACAGGCCCUGGCCUCAUGGACUGCCACCUGGACAGUGACACAGACCUAGAGGAUGAGGAGGGAGUGGGUGGUGCCUCUGAGGCAUGCGCAUUAGCGGAGGACAGCAAGGCCUUAGAAUUGGGCAGUGGCGCUGGCAAGGAUGAGCCUGUGGGGGUGAAUCCAGGUGCUGGUAGUCAAACAAACAACCAGGUGGCACUCAGUGUGGGUCGCAAUGCGGAUGUGACGGAGGAGGCAAAGGGCCCAGACCUCCAAGGGCUGACGGCCCAUCAGGCGGCUGAACGUAACGAUGGCAGCGGUGCAGAUCCUGACAGGGGCACAGAGAAUCAACAUGUAUCUCUCGCCCACCAACAGUCCUGCCCCCAAAAUCUGGAUGGCCACAAAGCAGCCAAAGGGUCUGAAAGCCGCCAUAAUUUUGCCCAAGCCAAACCGGAUCAUCUGUCUGAUGGAGAGGAGGACCGUAACCCAGAUGCGGAGGAGGCUGCCGAUAAUUCAGGUGUGUGUGAGCAGGACAUGCCGCCCACAGAGAGUGAAUCUGGCAGUACAGAUAUGGAGGAUGUGUCUCUUAAAGUGCCCAACCCCGAUGCACUUCCGGAGACCCCUGAGCUUGUUGACUGCAGUGAUGUUGAUUCGGAUGUUGCACCAGGUGAGCUGGUGCUGCAAAACUCGGAUGUCGCUGGUCCUCUCAGUCCCCUCAGCCCAGUUGGCAAGGACAGCAGCUCAUGUGCAGAAGAGAGCCCCACCAAGGACAAUAAUUACCUGGAUGAAGGGGCAGGGCAAGAUGCUGCUGCAGGGGAGGUGAAGGAUCCGAAUGCGGUACCCCAGAGGACUUGCAGAGCUGUUAAUGAACAGACAAGGGACUUGGACAGCGAGGAUCCCCUGGAAACCCCUGGGGUUGUGGUGAGUGCAUCUGUAGUGCCUCAGGUCCCAUCCCUGCCCAUUCUUUCUGUGGAUAGUGAUACAGAUGUGGAAGAGGAGCUUGAAAAUCCAGAGGUGGCCCCGGAGGAGAGCCAUGUCAUUGCUAGUCCCAGCAGAGAAGGACUGGGUAGCUGCCUUGAGAAGCCAGAGGUUGGUCCCCAGGAGAGCGCUGGAUCUGUUGAAGACACGGACAGUGAUACUGAUGUGGAAGCAGCUUCUCCAUUCCACAAGGACUCGGCGGCUGAAGGCGUGGAGGAAGGGAGUGUCCAGGGGCCAGAGAAACCCCUGGACGAGCAAGAGACUCAGUUAUUAGUCCCUAUGAGCUCCUCUGUAGAUGGGGAGAAAGGCCCUGGCUCUGUGAUGGCCAUCAGAGUCCAAGAAGAAUCUCGCCAAGGGGAGGAAGAAAUGGACAUGGAGGAAAACGGGUCGCAUUCAAGAGGCAGCAGUGGCACUGAAGAUGACCCUGACCUGGCUUUCCAGGCUACACAGUGUUUCCUGCCUUCUGAGACCUCAUCUCCCAAGACUAGAAAGGAGAAAGAUACCGGAGCGACAGAUUCCAGUUGUGCCCUGGAAGAGGAGGCCACUCAGGCCUUUGGCGCAGGGGACGAACUAAAGGCGGCCAGGCUCCACCUGGGGAAAGUCUCUGUGAUGGUGCCCUUGUCCCCAGGAAGCUCUACGGGCAGUCCAGGGUCCAGCUCUCCUUUGAAAGACGACGACACAGAUCCAGAUGCUUACAUGCUGGAAGCCACUCAGUCAUUCUGCAGGGAGUUGUCAGAAGCGCCCACCCAGGACUUUGGGUCCAGAGAGGAGGAAGACGCGGAACUGAUUUCCCAGUGCCCAGCUGAAGCGGAAGGCCUCCCUGAGCUGGCAGCACCGCCUGCAGCUUCAGCCUCAGCCUCUAGGGGGCAGCAGGCUGCCAGCAUUCUGGGGGAGAGUGCGCAGCCCCUUCCCACGGGCCUGCCUGGCACGGAGCUUCCCUUACAGGUAGCAGGGGAAGCUGCUGGGGAGGAAGCAGCGAAGGAAGGAGAAUCCCAGCCUUUCUCUUCAGGGCAAGCAAUCCCUGUGGGCAGCCACCAAGCCUCCAUACCUCAAGAGGUGAUGGAAGCCUCCAGAAGCGAGCAGCAGGAAGCCCCUGAAGGCGGAGGUCCUGUGGAAGCUGCCCAGACAUGGACAGCUCGUGUUGAGGGUGAGUCAGAAGAAAGGAGCACAGUACCUGUGGGAGAAGUGAGAGAUGCUGAACAGGUGCUGCAGCAAGCCCAGGAGAAGGCCGCUGAAUCCCCGGCCCCGGCCCCUACCCCUGCCCCUGGGCGGCGGCGUAGCCUCCGGUCCUCUGCCGCGGGUGCGUCCCCAGCUCCCGCCUCGGAAGGGCGAAGCCUUCGCCACCGUGGCCGGGUGGGGUCUGGUGAUGGAGAGGGGUGCAGUGAACCGGCUGCUCCCGUCCCGAGACGCAGGGGGAAGCGGCAACUCAGCAACCCAACCCAGUAUAUGGGGGAGCCAGAGGCCAAGGCGGAGCAGCCGGAAGGAGGGGGAGCGAGCUCCAGCAAGAAGCCCAGGAAAGGCGAGCCGACGGGUGCUGUGCGUCAGGGCCGGGCCAGGUGCUCCCCAAGGGGACCCAGAACUGCCAGCAAGUUGAAGGAGGAGACGGCAAAGGCUGCACCCAGCCCAGGGGCCAGGAGCACAGCAAGGCGGGGGAAAUCGAGAGCUGCGGCAGAACCAGAGCAGGAGGAGCUGCUGGAGCCGCCUAGGACCCGGGCCAGCAGGAGAUCGGGCAGUACUUCAGUGAGCACACCAAGCCCAAAGGACUCGGGGACAGAAGUCAGACCUGGGCAGGGGCUGUCACAGGCCACGCCGUCCUCCAGGAGGAGGUCGCCGCGCCUGAGCACGGAAGGCAAGCCAGCGGGUGUGAGGGCCCCGUCCCGGAGGCGGUCCGAGGGCGCGGCGGACUCUGGCGUUCCUGCCCCAAAGGUGUUGUUCACUGGGGUGAUUGAUGAGGAGGGGGAGCGUGUGGUGACAGAGCUCGGGGGGACUCUGGCGGACUCCGUCUUCGACUGCACCCACCUUGUGACGGACCGCGUGCGCCGCACGGUCAAGUUCUUGUGUGCGCUGGCACGGGGCAUCCCCAUCGUGACCCUGGAUUGGCUGGAGAAGAGUAAGCGGAAAUCUUCCUUCCUAGCACCAGACAGCUUCUUUGUCUGUGACCCUGAGCAAGAGAAGAACUUCCAGUUCAGCCUCACCACGUCCCUGCAGAAAGCUCAGGAGGAGGGAGGCCUGCUCCAGGGCUACGAGAUCCACGUCACCCCCAACGUUAAGCCUGAGCCCGAGCACAUGAGAGACAUCGUUCGAUGCAGCGGAGGGACCUUCCUGCCCCGGAUGCCGCGAGCCUACAAGGACAAGCGUGUGGUCAUUUCCUGCGCCGAGGACCUGCCCCGCUGUAAGCCAGCGCAGGAUGCCAGGGUGCCUGUUGCCGAUUCGGAGCUCAUCCUGACGGGGAUAUUGCAGCAGAAGAUCGAUUUGGAUGCCCACCGGCUGGAUGGAGGGGCGCUCCCUCCCCCUGCCACCAGCCCUGCCGCUCCCUCCACCAGGGCCAGCAAGAGGAGAGCGGGGGUCCAGACGGCCCCAGCCCCACCCAGCACAGCCAAGAGACGGCGCUGAUCCUGCAGCUCGCCUCUGAACAUGGAGACCUUGCCUUAAAUUUAAUGGGAAUGGGGAGACAAGACGGGGUGCCGUGAAGGUUUCUGGGAUAUCAACUGGAGGACUGGGGAGAACAAGCCGGGAUGAGCCUGAUGGUCAAGUCUGGGUUUGAUUUGGCAGCACAGAAACGCCUCCUCCUGGAUACCUUGCAUAAAGACAGGAUGCAGCGCCGACAAGCCAGAUGCUGUGCGGGGCCCUUGAACUUGCCCAGCCAGAGUUCUUUACAAAGGACAGCCAGAUCUUCCUUGUCUUCUUCAGGCUGAGCCUUCAUUUUUGCUGGUAAUCUGCAGGAAGGAAGUAUAACAACAGUUACUGUAAGUGAGUCUCGGUAAGUCUGUCUGUAGUCUUAAGUGGUUCAGCCUUUUUAUCCCCCUUUUUGGAAGAUGGAGUCUUAGCCUCGAUGUAGCAGAAUCCAAAAAGUAAUAUGUUUAUCUGGAUUUUAUCACUUUUGG